ACGAACGCUUGCGGCGUGCCUAAUGUAUGCAAGUCGAGCGGUGAAGGAGCUUCGGCUCCGGAUCAGCGGCGAACGGUUGAGUAACACGUAGGCAACCUGCCCCGAAGUGGGGGAUAACUCAUCGAAAGGUGGGCUAAUACCGCAUGUGGAAGCCGACUGCCUGGUUGGUUUUCCAAAGCAGCAAUGCGCUUCGGGAUGGGCCUGCGGCCUAUCAGCUUGUUGGUGGGGUAACGGCCUACCAAGGCUUCGACGGGUAGCUGGUCUGAGAGGAUGGUCAGCCAGACAGGGACUGAGACACGGCCCUGACUCCUUUGGGGGGCAGCAAUGAGGGAUAUUGCACAAUGGGGGAAACCCUGAUGCAGCGACGCCGCGUGGGUGAUGAAGUCUUUCGGGAUGUAAAGCCCUUUUACCGGGGAAGAGAAUGGACGGUACCCGGUGAAUAAGCCCCGGCUAACUACGU
RNAcentral lists this ribosomal RNA (460 nucleotides) under uncultured bacterium. RNAcentral's name for it is "bacterial SSU rRNA". It matches the Rfam family "Bacterial small subunit ribosomal RNA", at positions 29 to 506 of the family's 1533-position model. The record is from RNAcentral.